UGCCUCAGUAACGGCGAGUGAAGUGGCAACAGCUCAAAUUUGAAAUCUGGCCUUCAGGUCCGAGUUGUAAUUUAUAGAGGAUGCUUUUGGUUAGGUGCCUUCCGAGUUCCCUGGAAUGGGACGCCAUAGAGGGUGAGAGCCCCGUCUGGUCGGAUGCCGAGCCUCUGUAAAGCUCCCUCGACGAGUCGAGUAGUUUGGGAAUGCUGCUCAAAAUGGGAGGUAUAUGUCUUCUAAAGCUAAAUACCGGGCAGAGACCGAUAGCGCACAAGUAGAGUGAUCGAAAGAUGAAAAGCACUUUGAAAAGAGAGUUAAAUAGCACGUGAAAUUGUUAAAAGGGAAGCGUUUAUGACCAGACUUGCGCCGACUGAUCAACCAGCGUUCUCGCUGGUGCACUCUGUCGGCUCAGGCCAGCAUCGGUUCGCCCCGGGGGACAAAAGCUAGGGGAAUGUGGCUCCUCGGAGUGUUAUAGCCCCUAGCAUAAUACCCUGAGGCGGACCGAGGUUCGCGCAUUGCAUGGAUGCUGGCGUAAUGGUCAUCAACGACCCGUCUUGAAACACGGACCAAGGAGUCGUCUUCGUAUGCGAGUGUUCGGGUGUCAAACCCCUACGCGUAAUGAAAGUGAACGCAGGUGAGAGCUUCGGCGCAUCAUCGACCGAUCCUGAUGUUCUCGGAUG
RNAcentral lists this ribosomal RNA (674 nucleotides) under Brevistachys subsimplex. RNAcentral's name for it is "partial large subunit ribosomal RNA". It matches the Rfam family "Eukaryotic large subunit ribosomal RNA", at positions 76 to 786 of the family's 3401-position model. The record is from RNAcentral. Lineage: Eukaryota; Fungi; Ascomycota; Sordariomycetes; Hypocreales; Stachybotryaceae.